RNAcentral lists this microRNA precursor (76 nucleotides) under Myotis lucifugus (little brown bat). RNAcentral's name for it is "mir-9229 microRNA precursor family". It matches the Rfam family "mir-9229 microRNA precursor family". The record is from Rfam by way of RNAcentral. Lineage: Eukaryota; Metazoa; Chordata; Mammalia; Chiroptera; Vespertilionidae.
GAGACACUCUUAUGGGGCAGGACUUUCUUCAGUGGGGCUUUGGUGCUCACUGAGUCUGUCCCUUGAGUGUGUCGCU